UACAGAGGGGGCGAGCGUUGUUCGGAAUUACUGGGCGUAAAGGGCGCGUAGGCGGCCUUCUAAGUCGAACGUGAAAUCCCCGGGCUCAACCCGGGAACUGCGUCCGAUACUGGGAGGCUUGAAUCCGGGAGAGGGAUGUGGAAUUCCAGGUGUAGCGGUGAAAUGCGUAGAUAUCGGGAGGAACACCUGUGGCGAAAGCGGCUCACUGGACCACAACUGACGCUGAGGCGCGAAAGCUAGGGGAGCAAACAGG
Molecule: ribosomal RNA, 253 nt
Filed under: uncultured bacterium
Lineage: Bacteria
Description: partial 16S ribosomal RNA
Rfam family: Bacterial small subunit ribosomal RNA
Source: RNAcentral